UACGUAGGGGGCAAGCGUUGUCCGGAAUGACUGGGCGUAAAGCGCGCGCAGGCGGUCUUUUAAGUCUGAGGUGAAAGGCUGAGGCUCAACCCUGGCAUCGCCUUGGAAACGGGAAGACUUGAGGACUGGAGAGGCAAGGGGAAUUCCACGUGUAGCGGUGAAAUGCGUAGAGAUGUGGAGGAAUACCAGUGGCGAAGGCGCCUUGCUGGACAGUGCCUGACGCUGAGGCGCGAAGGCGUGGGGAGCAAACAGGAUUAGAUACCCUGGUAGUCCACGCGGUAAACGAUGAGUGCUAGGUGUCGGAGGGUACCACCUCCGGUGCCGAAGGAAACCCAAUAAGCACUCCGCCUGGGGAGUACGGUCGCAAGACUGAAACUCAAAGGAAUUGACGGGGGCCCGCACAAGCAGUGGAGCAUGUGGUUUAAUUCGAAGCAACGCGAAGAACCUUACCAGGGCUUGACAUCCCCCUGACGGGCCGAGAGAUCGGUCGUCCCUUCGGGGCAGGGGAGACAGGUGGUGCAUGGUUGUCGUCAGCUCGUGUCGUGAGAUGUUGGGUUAAGUCCCGCAACGAGCGCAACCCUUGAUCAGUGUUACCAGCACGUAGUGGUGGGGACUCACUGAUGACUGCCGGUGACAAACCGGAGGAAGGCGGGGAUGACGUCAAAUCAUCAUGCCCCUUAUGUCCUGGGCCACACACGUGCUACAAUGGGCGGUACAACGGGAAGCAAGAGAGCGAUCUGGAGCGAAACCCUAAAAGCCGUUCGUAGUUCGGAUUGCAGGCUGCAACCCGCCUGCAUGAAGCCGGAAUUGCUAGUAAUCGCGGAUCAGCAUGCCGCGGUGAAUCCGUUCCCGGGCCU
RNAcentral lists this ribosomal RNA (857 nucleotides) under uncultured bacterium. Its description in RNAcentral is "bacterial SSU rRNA". It matches the Rfam family "Bacterial small subunit ribosomal RNA", at positions 524 to 1381 of the family's 1533-position model. The record is from RNAcentral.